Molecule: long non-coding RNA, 447 nt
Filed under: Rattus norvegicus (Norway rat)
Lineage: Eukaryota; Metazoa; Chordata; Mammalia; Rodentia; Muridae
Description: long non-coding RNA NONRATT007297
Source: RNAcentral
GGUAGGUACUCCUUAAGGGAAAAUCUAAGCCCAGAGAGACAGCCGGUAACAGCUAGGCUGCCUCUCUGCUCGCCUUUCUGUUUCAUAGACAAAGCUUGUGCUUAUAUUUACAGUGGCCUUUUUGUCCAAAAAAAAGGCCUCCUGGUUUAGCUGUGUGACUAAAUGCUAUUUGUCCUCUUCAGUGGACCUCUCUCCUCUAGAUUCCCUUCUUGUUUUCUCACCAUCCCACGUGAGAUGCUUGUUAGUAACUGUUACAGAUCUUCUUUACCACUGAGGAAAGACAGAAUCCUGCUAGAGGCCAGAAAGAAUGUUCCAGACAUGGAUGGAAGGCUCCUGACUGUUGACUUCAAUGCCCCUGAAGGUAGGGAGUGCUCCAGGUCUGCCCCCAGGCUCCGAGGGUGGGUCUCCUAGGGGCUGGAAAAUGCCCCACCAAUCUGGCUAAGAUAA